Non-coding RNA from Salvelinus fontinalis (brook trout), 453 nucleotides. The record is from the annotation of a RefSeq genome assembly. NCBI's taxonomy places the organism in Eukaryota, Metazoa, Chordata, Actinopteri, Salmoniformes, Salmonidae.
GACAACAGAACUUCAACAAUGACUUUCAUCAUGAGCUUUGUGUGGAUAUUGAUGUUCUUCAUUCAGGAAUCCAGAGGUCAGUACACUGUGACUCAGACUCCUACAGAGGAAACUGUUCUCCCAGGACAGACAGUCUCUCUGAAGUGUAAAACCAGCAGUCAUGUGUAUUAUGCAGAUGCCAAAUAUCCCAUACUAGCCUGGUACCACCAGAAACCUGGAGGAGCUCCUAAACUCCUUAUUUACCGUGCUAAAACACUUCAGUCUGGGACUCCAUCUAGAUUCAGUGGCAGUGGAUCUCAUAGUGACUUCACUCUGACCAUCAGUGAAGUCCAGGCUGAAGAUGCAGGAUAUUACUACUGUCAGAGUUAUAACAGUGAUCCAGCGUUCACACAGUGAUACAGAGCCGUACAAAAACCUCCUUCAGUCAGACUGCACAGUAAAUGUACUGCUACA